UUUCUGAUAUUUCCCACUCAUUUUUUUUCUCCUUUCCCCUUUAUUCUCUUUCACUAUUUUUUAUAUACCACCAAAGGAUUUUGUGAUCAAAUUCAGGGUCCCUUUGAUCAAUCCAUAAUUCUCCAGGUGUAUAUAGCGUCGUGUUUGUGGAUUUCUUUGUCUUGACCUCAGAAGUAACCCGUGUUCCCAGCCACCAGCCACCAUGGCAGUUAAUACCAUAUUCUUUGACUUCAACAAGACCUAGAUUUGAGACCAGGCUCGGCCCACUUGCUUGCUAUGUGUUUGAAUAAGUUUCUUAUCCUCUCAAAAAUGCAAAUUAAAAUUGCUGCAAGUAUUAAAUGCGAUAGAGGAGCUCAAGCACUUAGCUCACAGUAAGAGCUCACUAUGUCAGUGAGCAAUUCUUUGUCUUAUUACUAGAGUAAUAAUAAUAAAAUAGUAAAGUUGGUUUACCCACAUCUGAUUUAAAUGCAGCAUUUUGUCUCUGGUUUAAGGGUGGCAUCUACCUUUAGUGCUGUGACUUACUUUGGUGACCAUUCUGCAUGUGGCCUGUCCUGCCCAGGGGUUUUGGAUUUAUGGCUUUGGGAUUCCACUAAGGGGCCAAAGUCCUUCCAUCACAAAAAGGGCUAGUACCACAUCAUACUGGCUGGAGGCUGAGAGUCUGAAACCAGAUAGGGUUUCUCUCUAAAAUAAUGCUUCUCAAGGUGUAACCAACGAACCCCUUUUUCAGAAUUACUUAGGAGUGUUGAUUAAAUUACAGAUGCCUAAGGUCCUGCCCCAGGGCUUUUGAAGUAGACUCUUUUGUGGGGGUUCUGGGGUAAGAAGCCGCAUCGUAAUAAGCGCCCAUAUUAUCCUGAUGUGAACUAAAUAAAUUCUAGAACUGCUCCAGUGCAGUCUUCAAGUUUGCCUGGUUGUGGAAUGGCCUGGGGAUGCUUAAUAAAAAUAGAGGUUCCUGGGCCCCCCCACAUUUCCAGGGAGGUGUAUUUUUAAUAUGUAUCCCCAGGUGACUCUGAUGAUCUGGCGAAUGCUGGAAAUGCUGUUCUAGAAUGACUGGCCGGUGGCAUGUUUGGCGAUAGUGGUGGUAGCAUAAAUGGACAGAAGUAGUGAUAGGGAAAGGAUGGGGGUUUGAAUGAUCCAGAAAAUGACUUAGGUCAAGAGUUGAGGCCCCACUGCAAGGGCUCAUCUUUGCUUUUUAACAUCUCCGCCAUGUGUGAGAGUCUGUGUCCAGCCCCUUCCACACUGUUUGCGAAAGCAAAGCAAAGUCGAUUUGGGGAAAAUGAAUCGAAUGCAAGAGUGAACAGUGAAGCUCUUGGGCAAAACUAGCAACCCCACAUGAACAACUGUGGGACCGUGGGUAAAUGGAAAGAACGGCUGCUUAUCAUAACAGCCAUUCCUGGUUCUCUCUUACAGCCUGGUUGAAGUUCCCACCAUUAGUUUUUCCAUGAAUUACGUCCCUGCCUUAAGACAGUCUGGAUGUGGCUACCGGCUGAAAAAACCUACUCGUUACCACGAUGCUCUCGGGAUACCUCUCCUCUCCACGGUGCUCUCCUUACUCACAGCAAAGCUGGAAAAUACUUCUCUUAGUCUGCUGUCUACCCAGUGAUGGGAAGUCUGCUGUCUACCCUCCAAUCAGAGCAGAGUCUGCUUUCUUUCUGUCUUCAACUAAUGGUCACAUGGUAUCUAAUCUGUAAUUUCGCCCCCCAGUUACUUUGGAUCUGGGUCUACCGACCCAUGACAAUACUGUUUGCUCCUUUCCCUCUGGCAGGUAUUAGCUGUGAUCCUAUUGGGUAAUAGAACUUUGCAAUGAGGAAGAUUCUGAUAAGCAAGAGUCCUUCAUCUAUCUUGUUGUAUGACUUUCCAGCCAGCCGAAAUCUAAUGAUGAGGGCUUUCUCCUAGUGAGAUAUUGUAGUGGGUUCAACCAAAGGUAAAUAAGAUAAAGUCCCAACCCAGAAAGAAAUUCAAAUGAAGAGUGCGGUGACAUUCCAACGAAUGACAUAUCCAAAGGUCAGCCAUGCUAUGAAAAUAUAGGAGUCAGGAUAUUAAGAAGAGAAACCAUAGGGGAAUGUUGUAGUUGUGCUGUGUGUAUCUCUACCCUCACAGAAAACGAAAAUAUUAUCAGAAAAAAAACAUCGAUAAUGUGCAUUGUA
Long non-coding RNA from Canis lupus familiaris (dog), 2144 nucleotides. RefSeq lists it as uncharacterized. Lineage: Eukaryota; Metazoa; Chordata; Mammalia; Carnivora; Canidae. The transcript is spliced from 2 exons. The record is from RefSeq and is a predicted model, not a curated record.